RNAcentral lists this ribosomal RNA (1487 nucleotides) under metagenome. RNAcentral's name for it is "bacterial SSU rRNA". It matches the Rfam family "Bacterial small subunit ribosomal RNA". The record is from RNAcentral.
AGAGUUUGAUCAUGGCUCAGGACGAACGCUGGCGGCGUGCUUAACACAUGCAAGUCGAACGAGAAUCUACUGAAAGAGUUUUCGGACAAUGGAUGUAGAGGAAAGUGGCGGACGGGUGGGUAACGCGUGAGGAACCUGCCUUGAAGAGGGGGACAACAGUUGGAAACGACUGCUAAUACCGCAUGACGCAUAGAGGUCGCAUGAUCUUUAUGCCAAAGAUUUAUCGCUUCAAGAUGGCCUCGCGUCUGAUUAGCUGGUUGGCGGGGUAACGGCCCACCAAGGCGACGAUCAGUAGCCGGACUGAGAGGUUGAACGGCCACAUUGGGACUGAGAUACGGCCCAGACUCCUACGGGAGGCAGCAGUGGGGAAUAUUGGGCAAUGGGCGCAAGCCUGACCCAGCAACGCCGCGUGAAGGAAGAAGGCUUUCGGGUUGUAAACUUCUUUUAAGAGGGAAGAGCAGAAGACGGUACCUCUAGAAUAAGCCACGGCUAACUACGUGCCAGCAGCCGCGGUAAUACGUAGGUGGCAAGCGUUGUCCGGAUUUACUGGGUGUAGGGGCGUGCAGCCGGGUCUGCAAGUCAGAUGUGAAAUCCAUGGGCUCAACCCAUGAACUGCAUUUGAAACUGUAGAUCUUGAGUGUCGGAGGGGCAAUCGGAAUUCCUAGUGUAGCGGUGAAAUGCGUAGAUAUUAGGAGGAACACCAGUGGCGAAGGCGGAUUGCUGGACGAUAACUGACGGUGAGGCGCGAAAGUGUGGGGAGCAAACAGGAUUAGAUACCCUGGUAGUCCACACUGUAAACGAUGAAUACUAGGUGUGCGGGGACUGACCCCCUGCGUGCCGCAGUAAACACAAUAAGUAUUCCACCUGGGGAGUACGAUCGCAAGGUUGAAACUCAAAGGAAUUGACGGGGGCCCGCACAAGCGGUGGAUUAUGUGGUUUAAUUCGAAGCAACGCGAAGAACCUUACCAGGGUUUGACAUCCUGCUAACGAAGUAGAGAUACAUUAGGUGCCCUUCGGGGAAAGCAGAGACAGGUGGUGCAUGGUUGUCGUCAGCUCGUGUCGUGAGAUGUUGGGUUGAGUCCCGCAACGAGCGCAACCCCUAUUGUUAGUUGCUACGCAAGAGCACUCUAGCGAGACUGCCGUUGACAAAACGGAGGAAGGUGGGGACGACGUCAAAUCAUCAUGCCCCUUAUAUCCUGGGCUACACACGUAAUACAAUGGCGGUCAACAGAGGGAAGCAGAGUCGCGAGGCAGAGCAAACCCCCAAAAGCCGUCCCAGUUCGGAUUGUAGGCUGCAACUCGCCUGCAUGAAGUCGGAAUCGCUAGUAAUCGCGGAUCAGCAUGCCGCGGUGAAUACGUUCCCGGGCCUUGUACACACCGCCCGUCACACCAUGAGAGUCGGGAACACCCGAAGUCCGUAGCCUAACCUGAAAAGGAGGGCGCGGCCGAAGGUGGGUUCGAUAAUUGGGGUGAAGUCGUAACAAGGA